UACUGCAUAAAAAUUUUGUUUUGCCACCUCCACUUGUUGUUGAUAAGGAAGAGGAGUUGUGGCUUAGGAGAGUGCAGUGGAAGUUCGGAAUCUCUAGGAGCAUGAUAGUAAGACAAUUUCCUUCAACCCUUUUGUUGAUUUGUUACAUUCACCUUGCAAUGGACUAAAAUUUUAUUUACUGCAUAUAACUGCAUGAACCAGUCCAACUUUAAUAGUAUGACCUGCCAAUUACAAUAUUUGAUUAAAAUUUUUGUGUGGCAGGUUGAAAAAAAAGUUUGAAAACACAAAUCAUUGUGGCCACACCUUUGGACAUCAGAUUCCACCCCUGAACCCAGUGAGAGCUGCUCAUUGCUCCUGCAAAAUCAAGUUGCUGAACGUGGCCUACGUCCUCAAUUCAGAACACCUAGUUUAGACCCAGGGCUUCUUGAGUUUAAAUGAGUGCACGGAGAUGGCCACGAGGUGGCGGAAAUACCUUUUUAAAAAAAUAGUUGUCUAUGGCCCAAACACUUCAAAAAGUUCAGUAGCCAAAUAGUUUUACCGUUAUCAGUCAUUCAUCACUGCUACAGGCCAAACUUGACACCAGAGUCGUCUCUGAAGCUGACAGCACUGAAAGCAUAGAUGCUCUAAAUGAAUUAAAUGAGGAAGGCACAGGAUAUAAACUGAAGACUAUACACAAAAACAAACACCAUGAAAACCAAAAGGUCACCAGUGGCUGCCCUCUUUUCCAAACUUGGCACUAUUCACAGGCUGGCAGGAGUACGAUAUUCACCACCUAUGCACUCAGUCAAUAAUGUUGACAUUUAUUUCUAAAGUUUUGGGGGUUUUUAAUUCUUUACAUCUACAUUAAAAAGAUGGGGGGAGGGGGGGUGCCCCGAUGCAUGAUGAGGCUUCCACAGCUGCCAAAUUUUAUAGUGACAAAUCAGCCCGUGCUCAGUUUGCAGAUGAAGCCCCAUCUGCUGCCAAAGCACGCUCAGCCAGCGCUGCAGGCCUCCUCAGGCCGCAGAUUGUGGAGACCCACUGCCUGCAACUCCUUGCAGUGGAGCACAGCUAAACACAAGGGAAGCUCAGAGGAAGAGGACCCUCUUUAUAAAGGAUCUGGCCAUUCAAAUCAGGGAGAAGCCAACAUUUCGUUAGAGCGCUGAACAUGCAGGCUAAAAUCUCACCAGGGAGUUUCUCUCAUUAGGUCCAGGUGUUGGCUAAUCCACCCUCGUCUUUCGUUGCCCUGAGGAGCAGCAAAAUCGAGCUGGAAGGUGCAAUGCUGAAACGGCGAAGCAGAGAGAGUCCCAGCGACGGAAACUCUCCAUGCUGCUAGAGCACACCCAACACGCAGGUGAUGGACGCUGGAAGAAGUAAUAUACUAGGGAAACGAAGAAGCAGCAAAGGCGAACAGCGUUGCCAGCAGCUGCUCCCAUCCGGGGCUGUGAGCAACGGGCCACCCGCCCUCGCCAAGGCCUGAGCAUAGCUCAUCCUGCAGGCAGCUUUCACCUGCAAGUCUUUGCUGUUGGUUUUUUCUCUUCCUUUGCCUAGCGCUCUACAGCGUUUCCCGAGAUGGGAGGUUUUCGGCGAAGCCCGGAGAAAGCUGGCCUCGCCGUUUCGUACGAGAGGGUAUUUAAA
Long non-coding RNA from Struthio camelus australis, 1614 nucleotides. The record is from Ensembl. NCBI's taxonomy places the organism in Eukaryota, Metazoa, Chordata, Aves, Struthioniformes, Struthionidae.